AAUCCUUUAAAAUUUGUUGAAACUUGUUUUAUGACCCAGGAAGUAGUCAGAAGUAAAUAUUCUACGUGUGCUUGAAAAGAAUGUAUAUGCUGAAAUUGCAGCGUGUCCUAUAUAAGCCUAUUAUGUUAUUCUUGUCCAAAGCUUCUACAUCUUCAUCGAUUUUUUAUUUUUCCUAUCAAAUGAGAGAGGUGUGUUAAAGUCUCAUUCUGUGACUUUUGAUUUAAUUCUUAUAUUUCUGCUCAUUUUUGUCUUAUUAUUGAGACCAUAUUGUUGGAAGAAUAUAUAUUUAGAAUUGUUGUAUCUUCCUGGUUAAAUGAAACUUUCAUCAUUAUGUAGGCUCUAUCCCUAGUCAUACCCUUUAUCUUACAGAGUUGUUUUAUCUAAUAUUGACAUAGCUACAGGUAGUGAAUGUUGUGAUAUUCUGCCCAGAUCCUCCAUCAGGACUGAUGGUAUUCCCUUAGCUGCUGGAAGUGCUACCAGAUGACAGCCUUCACUCACCAGUCCUCUGCAGGAAUUGUCCUCGCCUCACCCAAGGCCACAGCCUGCAUCCUGUGACUGGUCAGAGCAAGGUUAGAAAGACCUAGUCUCCUUGCCAAAGCUCCCUCUCUUUCCCCUCUCUCUCCUCUGAGACUCCAGUUAAAUCCUGCACUUCCCAUCUCUCUCCUCUUCAUGCUUCCUUGUAGGUUUCUUCUAGCCUCUCUUUCAGUUCACCAGAAUCUUUUAACUAUCAAAUCUGAUGUUAAAUCCAGUUCCAUAUUUUCUAGUUGUUUUUCCUCUCACUUCUUUUGGUUGGUUGUUCUAUAUUGCUUUUUGAAGUUUGGCUUUAUCUCCAUAAACGAAGCAAUUGUAUUUUACUAAUGAUUUGACUGUCUAGAGUCCCUGUGAAUGUAUCAGUUUUUUUGUUUUGUUUUUGUUUUUCCUGUAUCCAGAUGCUGUCUCUCAGAGGUUUUUUUUUGUUUUUUUGCUGAUCCUUUCAUUUGAGAAUUUGUUUUUUUGGAAAUAAUUGAGAACUAAGAUGAUGAUAGCUUUCCCCAGAGCAAGGUUUUAUUUCCUCCAGUCAGGAACUUGGUAUGCUAGAUGCCUGAAGAGUGAAGCUCGAGGCCCUUGAGGUUUAGUUCCUCACUCCAGAGUAAGCCCUUUGGAGACCGAACCCACAAUGGAGAUUAUGGUAGGCACUAAACUCUGACCUGUGUUAUUUAACUCUGACCUGUGUUAUUUAGUACUGCAAGUCUACCAAACAAACAGCUGCCUCUCUGCUGCUUUCCAGAGUCCAAGGAAAAUGCAGCAGUAAUUUGGGAUGGAGGAGGGACCAAAGAGGAGGAUGCAUCCUGCUACUUCCAAAGAUGAUAUUCCCCAUCUCUUCCCUCUUUCGUCACUACCUUGAGCGAAAAUCCAACAGAGAUGCCUUUGAUUUAUGUAUCCUAUCACAUAGCUGUAUUUUAGCUGCAAAGAAUGCUGGAAAACUAGCAUUUUAAGGUUUUAUAGAGGGUGUUGUAGACAGAAUUCUAAGAUGAUCCCAUGAUCUCUGCUUCCUUGGUGUUGCAGCUACGAUUAGGUUACACUGCAUGGCAAAGGAAUUUUACAGAUCUAAUUAAGCUCCCAAAUCGGCUGAAUUUGAGUUCAUAAGGGAAAUUAUUCUAUGGGUCUAAUAUAAUUAUAUGAGUUCUUUAAAAGCAGAGUUUUCUCCAGCUGGUAGCAUAAGAUGUAAUGAGAGAGAUUCCAAGUGUGAGAAGGACUGAACACGCCACUGCUGCCUAGAAGAUGGAAGGAGCCACGUGGCAAGGAAUUCCAGUUCCUGGAAGCUGUGAGCACCCUCCAAUCUCCCCGCCCUCCAGCAGCCAGCAAGGAAACAGGGGCCUCAGUCCUACAAUCACAAGGAAUGGAACUCUGCAAAUAACAGAACAUGAUACAACUAGGAGUAGCUGAGGCUGCCUCAUCCCUGAAGUGGACUGCUCAGCUAUUCUGUUUACCUAAAGAGGUUUGCAAAAGGAUUGCUGUGCACAAACUGAGCUUCGUGGAUUAACUAUCCAGUAGCUGUUCUCCUGAGAGAACAGAACCACCUGGCAAGCUUAAAGGCAAGUGUUUCCUUUCUUUUAAUUAAAUAGGCUGUGUUAAAAUUAACAUCAAAACCGGCCUUGAACCAACCAGCCCACCAUGAUGUAGUGCAAAUCUCCCAGUGACAAAAUACCAUCAGAGAGGCUACACGUUGGUCUCCAGCCCCAGCAAACGUCCCAUUCUCUCCACAUUCUUAUCAAUUGUAGCUUGACAUGUUAUCUCCUUGGCACAUUCCAUAGGAAACCAGCCCCUUUCUCCAUCUCGCAGUCUUUCCCCUUCAUACCAGCCUGCAAAGAAGAGCAGAGUCCUCAUGGGGCACCAAGUAUUUGGAUGAAUCUUGACUGUUCAGCUCCGAGGGAGGACGAUAUGGGCAAAUUUCAGAGGCAGUAUCCUGCCCCAGGUUGGGUACCACGGAUGAUGCAAGAGGACGAAGCUGAAGUCUGAACUCUUAAGUACCUGCUCACAGUAAAACUGCUAAGUGGUAGAGUCAGAAUAUACGCCAGGCAGCCGGGGAUCAAAGAGGUGGUGCCCCCUAGCAGGUGCUUACAAGAUAACGAGGGACC
This is a long non-coding RNA of Orcinus orca (killer whale), 2618 nucleotides long. RefSeq lists it as uncharacterized. The record is from RefSeq and is a predicted model, not a curated record. The transcript has 3 exons. Lineage: Eukaryota; Metazoa; Chordata; Mammalia; Artiodactyla; Delphinidae.